GGACCGGAAAACUUUUAUUUCUUGGAAUCCGAAAUAAAUACUGCAGCUUUUGUGCAUACGCCAGUGCCAAAAACAUGGAAGUCAUUCCAGAUCAUACAUGUUAUAAGAACUGGUCAAAUACAUCCACAAGUAUGGAAUCCGACAUAAUUGUGGAAGGAUUUCGAAAAAGUAUUGACAUGUAUAAUAUUAUUUAUAAAAGACUUGUUGGGGAUGGUGACAGUAGCGUCUAUAAAAAACUGAUCGAGGCUCGCCCAUAUGGAAGUUUACAUGUGGAGAAAAUUGAGUGCAGGAAUCAUUUAUUAAGAAAUUUUUGCUCCAAAUUGCGUGAAAUAUCUAGUAAAAAAAGAAGCAACAGUACAAAUAAUCCGGUUUCACCAUACCUGCGCAAACAUAUUUUGAACAAUAUACGAAGGAUGAGAACUGCUGUUGCAAUGGCUGUUACUCAAAGAAAUAAAGAAGAUAAAAGCUUUAGUAUUAAAAUAGAAAAUCUUACUAAAGAUUUAAAAAAUAUACCAUCCCACGUAUUUGGAGAGCAUCUAAACUGUACAGCCAUAGGAUAUUUUAGAUGUGAUAAAAAGUUUGGAGAAAAAAAUUAUAUUGAAGAAAUGAAGGCAUGUGGGGUUUUGCAAGACAUUGAAGUUUGUCUAAAUAGACUCAUAUUGCAUGCUUCCAGUUUGUUAAGAAAUAUGGACAAUAAUGUAGCUGAACAUUAUAACUCUGUGGUAUGCAAGUUUAUUGGCGGAAAGCGCAUCAAUUUUUCAAAAAGAGGGUCUUAUCAAAUACGGUGUGAAGCUGCAGCCCUAUCUUAUAAUCUUGGAAGCGGAGAAUACCACAGACAAAUUUUUAAAUCAAUUGCUGAAAAAAGUCCUUCUGGUCAUACAAAAAAAUUUAUUAAUAGAGUUAAACAAAGACGUAUUAAUACCCUUAAAAUAAGACCAAAAACCCUAUUUAAAAAACGAAAUAAAUCAAUUGCGCUUCCUGAUAAAGAUUAUGGGGAUCAGGAGGCAGAUAAUAGCAUACAGCCAGACAUGGAAGAAAAUUUAUUUGAAGAAAAAAAAAGGAAUUUUUAGAAGAACUCGAAAAAAAUGAAAAUGAGAUUAAGGAUUUAGAGAUUAGUACCAGAGGACAAGGAGAAAAUCCAAAGUGGUAUCAAGAAAGGAGUUUAAGGCUUACAGCAUCAAAUUUUGGAAAUAUUUGCAAAAUGCUAGAAAAAACAAAUUGCAAAAAUAAAGUAAAAGCAAUUCUUUAUUCCAAGUUUCGGGGCAAUAAACACACUAAGUAUGGCACCGAAAAAGAACCAUUUGCUAUUCAACAAUUUGAGGAAACCUACAAUUUAAAAGUUGAAAUGUGUGGUCUUUUUAUUGAUUCCGAAUGUUGUGCUUUGGCUGCUAGCCCUGAUGGGCUAGUUGGCUCAAGAGGAUUAGUAGAAGUAAAGUGCCCAUCAACAGCUUCAGCAAUCAGCCCUACAGAAGCUAUCAAUAAAAAAAUAAUCAAGUUUGCCACCCUUGAUGAAAAUGGACAGAUGCAUUUAAAACAGAACCAUGAUUAUUUUUAUCAAAUCCAAGGCCAGCUUCAUAUCACAAAAAGAGAUUUUUGUUAUUUUAUUUUAUGGACACCUAUGGGGAUGCUGGUAGAACAGAUUUGGCGGCAGGACUCAUUCUGGAAUGACAAAAUGAUAGGAAAAUUAAAAAGUUUCUAUUACAAUUGUUUAUUACCGGAAAUUAUCGACCCGCGAUAUAGUAGAGGACUGGAAAUAAGAAAUCCAUCGAGAAAAUAACAACAUUUUAAUUUUAAAAUAGGUAUAUUAAUAGAUUUUUGCAAAUAUAAAACUGUACUUUUUAAAAUAAAAUUUAAAAUAUAAGUAUGUAUAUAAUUGUUUUUUCAAUAAGAUUAGGGUAAAAUGUAUAACAGUUCAAAAAAAAUGUUUAAAAAAAAACAAUUAUACAUAGAUUUUGUAUAAAAAAUGUAUAUUUUUUUAAAAAUGCCUCUUAAAAACUCCCCCGUACAUCAUUAACAAAAAGUCUCGCAAAAAGUUUAAUAAUAAUUGUAGCAAAAAAAAAAUUAUAUGAAAUAGGAUCGAGCACCCCAUUUCAAAGAAAAAUUUUGCCAAUAAUCGACAAUCGUAAUGUCUCAUUAUUCAAGUUUCAUAAUUCCCUGCGCCAUGCUAUUCCAUCCUCACCAGAUUUAUAUGACACGCGAGAACCUAUCGGUUUGGUCGCCGCUUUGAAAUGACCCCUUCCCUUCAUCCUUCCGCUGAGUGUUGCCAUAUGUUGGGUGAGCCAAAAAAUCGCCUAUAUUUUGAAAUCCGAGUUGGUCACGUGCUGAU
RNAcentral lists this unclassified non-coding RNA (2326 nucleotides) under Anthonomus grandis grandis. Its description in RNAcentral is "uncharacterized LOC126735628". Lineage: Eukaryota; Metazoa; Arthropoda; Insecta; Coleoptera; Curculionidae. The record is from RNAcentral.